Molecule: ribosomal RNA, 798 nt
Filed under: uncultured bacterium
Lineage: Bacteria
Description: bacterial SSU rRNA
Rfam family: Bacterial small subunit ribosomal RNA
Source: RNAcentral
GGUGAGUAAUGCAUCGGAACGUACCUAGUCGUGGGGGAUAACGUAGCGAAAGUUACGCUAAUACCGCAUACAUCCUACGGGAGAAAGCAGGGGAUCGCAAGACCUUGCGCGAUUAGAGCGGCCGAUGUCUGAUUAGCUAGUUGGUGGGGUAAAGGCCUACCAAGGCUUCGAUCAGUAGCGGGUCUGAGAGGAUGAUCCGCCACACUGGGACUGAGACACGGCCCAGACUCCUACGGGAGGCAGCAGUGGGGAAUUUUGGACAAUGGGGCAACCCUGAUCCAGCCAUUCCGCGUGAGUGAAGAAGGCCUUCGGGUUGUAAAGCUCUUUCGGCAGGAACGAAACGGUUACGGCUAAUACCCGUGACUACUGACGGUACCUGAAGAAGAAGCACCGGCUAACUCCGUGCCAGCAGCCGCGGUAAUACGGAGGGUGCUAGCGUUGUUCGGAAUUAUUGAGCGUAAAGCGCGUGUAGGCUGUUGGAUAAGUCAGAUGUGAAAGCCUUCCGCUCAACGGAAGAAGUGCAUUUGAAACUGCUCGGCUAGAGUACGGGAGAGGAGAGUGGAAUUCCCGGUGUAGAGGUGAAAUUCGUAGAUAUCGAGAGGUACACCAGUGGCGAAGGCGGCUCUCUGGUCCGAUACUGACGCUGAGACGCGAAAGCGUGGGGAGCACACAGGAUUAGAUACCCUGGUAGUCCACGCCCGUAAACCAUGAGCACUAGGUGUAGGAGGUAUUGACCCCUUUCUGUGCCGAAGCUAACGCAUUAAGUGCCCCUGCCUGGGUAGUACAGCCCGCAGGCUU